GGUCAAGCUACAAAGGGCUAAUGGUGGAUACCUAGGCACACAGAGGUGAAGAAGGACGUGGUUACCGACGAUAUGCCCCGGGGAGUUGGAAGCAAGCUUUGAGCCGGGGGUUUCCGAAUAGGGCAACCUUUAAUACUUUCUACUGAAUAUAUAGGUAGACAAGAACAAACCCAGCGAACUGAAACAUCUUAGUAGCUGGAGGAAAAGAAAGCAAAUAGCGAUUCUCUAAGUAGUGGUGAGCGAAAGGAGAACAGCCUAAACCGAAGUGCAUGCACUUCGGGGUUGUGGGACAGCAAUAUCGAAUCUAGACGUUAGAUGAAGCAACUAAAUAUUGCACCAUAGAAGGUGAAAGUCCUGUAAUCGAAAAUGAAAGGAUAGUAGCUGAAUCCCGAGUAGCAUGGAGCACGUGGAAUUCCAUGUGAAUCAGCGAGGACCACCUCGUAAGGCUAAAUACUACUGUGUGACCGAUAGUGAACAAGUACCGCGAGGGAAAGGUGAAAAGAACCCCGGGAGGGGAGUGAAAUAGAACAUGAAACCAUUAGCCUACAAGCAGUUAGAGCACGAUUUAACGUGUGAUAGCGUGCCUGUUGAAGAAUGAGCCGGCGACUUAUAGGUACUGGUAGGUUAAGUCGGAAAUGACGGAGCCAAAGAGAAAUCGAGUCUGAAUAGGGCGUUAAUCAGUAUUUAUAGACCCGAACCCUGGUGAUCUAACCAUGGCCAGGAUGAAGCUUGGGUGAUACCAAGUGGAGGUCCGCACCGACCGAUGUUGAAAAAUCGGCGGAUGAGCUGUGGUUAGGGGUGAAAUGCCAAUCGAACCAGGAGCUAGCUGGUUCUCCCCGAAAUGUGUUGAGGCGCAGCGGUAA
RNAcentral lists this non-coding RNA (863 nucleotides) under Richelia intracellularis HM01. RNAcentral's name for it is "Bacterial large subunit ribosomal RNA". It matches the Rfam family "Bacterial large subunit ribosomal RNA", at positions 1 to 885 of the family's 2925-position model. Lineage: Bacteria; Bacillati; Cyanobacteriota; Cyanophyceae; Nostocales; Nostocaceae. The record is from Rfam by way of RNAcentral.